GGGUAGCUGUGUGGAUGGUAGACCGGUGACGUACACUUCAUUUAUGCUGUAGGUCACCCGUUUUACUAUCCACCAACACCC
Mus musculus (house mouse) is the source of this 81-nucleotide non-coding RNA. The record is from Rfam. Lineage: Eukaryota; Metazoa; Chordata; Mammalia; Rodentia; Muridae.